RNAcentral lists this ribosomal RNA (758 nucleotides) under uncultured bacterium. Its description in RNAcentral is "bacterial SSU rRNA". It matches the Rfam family "Bacterial small subunit ribosomal RNA", at positions 8 to 796 of the family's 1533-position model. The record is from RNAcentral.
AGAGUUUGAUCAUGGCUCAGAAUCAACGCUGGCGGCGCGCCUAACACAUGCAAGUCGAACGAGAAAGCGGGGGUAACUCCGCAAGUACAGUGGCGUACGGGUGAGUAACACGUGGAUGAUCUGCCCUGGAGUGGGGAAUAACGCUGGGAAACCGGCGCUAAUACCGCAUAUUCCCGAGAGGGGAAAGCAGCAAUGCGCUCGAGGAGGAGUCCGCGGCCGAUUAGCUAGUUGGUAGGGUAACGGCCUACCAAGGCUAUGAUCGGUAGCCGGCCUGAGAGGGCACACGGCCACACUGGCACUGAAACACGGGCCAGACUCCUACGGGAGGCAGCAGUGGGGAAUCUUGCACAAUGGGGGAAACCCUGAUGCAGCGACGCCGCGUGAGCGAUGAAGCCCUUCGGGGUGUAAAGCUCUUUCGGCAGGGAAGAUGAUGACGGUACCUGCAGAAGCAGCUGCGGCUAACUACGUGCCAGCAGCCGCGGUAAUACGUAGGCAGCAAGCGUUGUUCGGAGUUACUGGGCGUAAAGGGUGUGUAGGCGGCCCCCUAAGUUUGGUGUGAAAUCUCCCGGCUCAACCGGGAGGGUGCGCCGAAGACUGGAGGGCUAGAGUGCGGGAUGGGAGAGUGGAAUUCCUGGUGUAGCGGUGAAAUGCGUAGAUAUCAGGAGGAACACCUGUGGUGUAGACGGCUCUCUGGACCGCAACUGACGCUGAGACACGAAAGCGUGGGUAGCAAACAGGAUUAGAUACCCUAGUAGUCC